UACGUAGGGUGCGAGCGUUGUCCGGAAUUAUUGGGCGUAAAGGGCUCGUAGGCGGUUUGUCGCGUCGGGAGUGAAAACACUGGGCUUAACUCAAUGCUGGCUUUCGAUACGGGCAGACUAGAGGUAUGCAGGGGAGAACGGAAUUCCUGGUGUAGCGGUGAAAUGCGCAGAUAUCAGGAGGAACACCGGUGGCGAAGGCGGUUCUCUGGGCAUUACCUGACGCUGAGGAGCGAAAGUGUGGGUAGCAAACAGG
Molecule: ribosomal RNA, 253 nt
Filed under: uncultured bacterium
Lineage: Bacteria
Description: partial 16S ribosomal RNA
Rfam family: Bacterial small subunit ribosomal RNA
Source: RNAcentral